RNAcentral lists this long non-coding RNA (1238 nucleotides) under Lonchura striata (white-rumped munia). RNAcentral describes it as "domestica (Bengalese finch) lncRNA (ENSLSDG00000011866.1)". The record is from RNAcentral. Lineage: Eukaryota; Metazoa; Chordata; Aves; Passeriformes; Estrildidae.
CAGCCUUGGUCUUGUCUUGGUAUAACAAGCUUUGACUUGCCUACCCUUCCCAUUCCUUGCCUCACCUCUUCUACCUUGUGUUUCCUAUCCUUGCCUAUCACUUUCUUUCCUUGCCUUGCCUUACCUGUUCCUCUCUUGCCUUGCCUUCCCCUCCUUUGCCUUGCCCCUCUGUUACCCCUUACUUUUCUUGGCAAGCUUUGCUCCUCCCUUGCCCCACUCUUUCCUUUCUCUUUUCCUGUUCCCUGCCUUAUAUUGACUCGCCCUUCUUAUGCCUGGCCUUGCUUUUCUUUACCUUGCCCCUCUGCCUUACCCCUCCUUGCCCUUCCCUGCCUCUGUCUUUCCCCUCCCUUGCCUUGCCCCUCUUGUGUUUUCUCACCUUGCCUCUCCAUUGUGUCACCUUGCUUUUUCUUGCCCAUCCCUUGGUUUGCAUUUGUUUUCCUUCCUUUGCCCAUCCCUUAGCUUGCCCUUCCCUUGCCUUGCCUAUCCUUGCCCCCCCCCAUGACCCCUUUUGCCUUGCCUACCCUUGCCCCUCCCUUGCCUUAGAUUCACUUUCCUUUCUUUGCCCAUCCCAUGCUCCACUCUUGCCUUACUCCAUUCUUUCCCUUGUCUUUCCUUGCCUUGCCUACCCCUCCAUUGCCCUUUCUUGCCUACCUCUCCCUAGCCUUGCUGUCAUUUUCCUUUCAUUGCCUGUCCCUUGCCUUGCUUUCUGUCUCCCUUGCCCCUUCUUUCCUCUACAUUGCCUUGCCUUCCUUCCCCCUCUGCUGCCUUUUCCCUGCAUCCAUUACCCUGCCUUUGCUUUCCUUCGUCUAUCUCUUGCCUUGCUGACCUCCUCCCUUUACUUUCUUUGCCUUGCCUUAACUUGCUCUUGCAUUUCCCCUCCUUGCCUUUCAUUGCCCCUCUGUUGCCUGCCCUUGCCUUGUUUUGCCUCUCCCUUGUUUGGCUUUUCCUUGCCUUGCCUUACCGUGCCUGUCCAUGGCAUUGCCCCUCUCUGUCCUUCCCUUGCCCCUUCUUUGCUUUAUCCCUUCUUGCCUUGCCUUUCCCUUGCCUUGCGUUCUUUGGACUUACUCCUUGUGGGUUUAGGUUUCUCAGUAAAUUUCUUCCCACUGUUAUCGGGGAGACCCUGGAAGGGGGAGGAGGUGGCUUUCUGAGUGAAUAUUCAGUGAUCAAAACACAAAAGGAAGUGGCCAAUGGCCCUGGCAUUCCAGCGGAGUAGGUUUGGGAGUUUUGGCUGAUGGAUG